Arabidopsis lyrata subsp. lyrata is the source of this 798-nucleotide long non-coding RNA. RefSeq lists it as uncharacterized. NCBI's taxonomy places the organism in Eukaryota, Viridiplantae, Streptophyta, Magnoliopsida, Brassicales, Brassicaceae. The transcript has 3 exons. The record is from RefSeq and is a predicted model, not a curated record.
AUAAUUUACCGAGACCACGUCAGAAAACAAAGUAUAUAAUAAUUCAGGGGUGAAAGGGAAACAAAAAAUCUCGGCAACUAAAGAAAAAUUGGAAAAGGAAAGUGCGAUUAAAAAAUAAUCUUUCGACCUGUGUUAAGUCAGGUUAAUCACUUGGUUAAAUUACUUAUGUCUUUAUCUCGGGUUACGGUACAAUCAAAAUCGAUUUCAUCGUCUUCUUUAUCUCUUUCUCUCUUCAUCGUCAUUCAUCAUCAUCAUCAUUCAUCAUCAUCAAAUCUCAGGAUCUUGGAGGUGGCUCUUCUCUUUCGUACCUACCUUCUAGACUGUGAUUUCCAAUCUUCGAACUCUCGUAGAGGAUUGAAAGAGCUGCUGAGUCCACGAGUUCUUCUCCAUCAGUAGCUUCCGGUGAUAGAACCCUAAUCCAUGAUGAUGAAUUCACUCUAACAGAGGUUAUAUUGUUGUCAACCUAUCAAAUCCCUAAUCAAGAGUUUCUUCAAAUUCAGUGUGUCAAUGUGAUCGAGCACUUAGUGAAGUAGAUGAGAUUUUUGGUUAAUCAUAUUUUCAAAGACAAAUCUUCACUUUCGAUCAAUUCAUGGAAGCAAAUUUCUCAAGAUACAUAUGAAGUAGUAUCUAGUUCGGUUCAUGGCUCAUCAAUUACUAUUUUUUCCAUCUUGUCGGAGCUCUUGAGCUCUCGGUAUUACAGAGAACGAUAUGGUGCUUUUGAGACUUCACUUUCCUAGUAUUCUGAGUUUCAAUGUCUUCGGAGGCGUCUUCAAUCAAUAGCAAAAGCACCAGGUGAUU